ACGGGGCUUGGAGCUACCUGGGAUAGUGGAAGGUGUCCCUCCCAAUGGCAGGGGGUGGAAAAAGAUGAGCUUUAAGGUCCCUUCCAACCCAAACAGGCCUGCAAUUCUGUGAUUCUGCAGGCAGCACACCCAGCUGGGGUUUAGCUCGGCCCAAGCCAGCGGCAGCUUUGCUGGUCUGUGUUGGAGCUUUCCAGCUGGGACAGCAGCAGCUCCUGGGGCAGAAGAGGCACAGCAGAACCCCCAUCUCUGCUGCUGGGGGUUUAUCAGCUAGCAUAAAACUGCAGCCCCGUUCUGGUGCAGGCAGCCAGCGGGUAAGUGCUGCAGAAGCUCCCCAAGCAAGUGCAUCUCCUCCGUGUGUAGGAGUAGCUGCUGACUGGGAGCAGCCCCAUUUCCAAGAACUCCCCAAAGUUACAAUCCUUCACGUCUUGCUGAAUCAGUGCAAGAUCCAGAGCAGCUCAGGGAAACAAAGAUCCAGGUCUCUGCAGCUGUGAAUCAGUGCUGAACACGAGUAUCUCCAUCCCCUCCUCCUGGAGAUGCUGUCUGUGACUCCUGCACGCACGCCUGGCCCUAAUGAAAGGCCCCGGUGCCUCCCCAUCGCCCAGCCAGUUAAACCUGCACAAACUGAGCCCAUCACACACAAAAAGCCUCUCCUGGGUAUCCCCCAGGGUUCAGCCCUGCUCCCUUUCUACAUGGCCUCUCCAUGCUGCAAGAAGAGCUUUCUUCAAGCUCACAGUGUGCCCAGCACAGCAUCCCAGGGAACCCUGCCACCAAAUCCCAGUGAAUCCUGCCAGAGCAUCCCAGUGAAUGCUGCCACCAAAUCCCAGUGAACCCUGCAGCUGCAUCCCAGUGAAUCCUGCCAGAGCAUCCCAGUGAAUGCUGCCACCAAAUCCCAGUGAAUCCUGCAGCUGCAUCCCAGAGAAUGCUGCCAGAGCAUCCCAGUGAACCCUGCCAUGGCAUCCUGGCGAUCCCUGGCACACCAUCCUGGCUAUCCCUGGCACAGAAUCCCAGCCAACCCUGCCAUGGCAUCCUGGCUAUCCCCAGAACACCAUCCAGUUGCCCCUGCCAGCUCCCAGCUGGGAUCAUCACCCACCCAGAGUGUGGCAGUGCCAUUUCACACUGUGGCAGUGCCAUUUCACCCACCCAGAGUG
RNAcentral lists this long non-coding RNA (1148 nucleotides) under Taeniopygia guttata (zebra finch). RNAcentral's name for it is "lncRNA (ENSTGUG00000021715.1)". Lineage: Eukaryota; Metazoa; Chordata; Aves; Passeriformes; Estrildidae. The record is from RNAcentral.